Molecule: ribosomal RNA, 557 nt
Filed under: uncultured Bifidobacterium sp.
Lineage: Bacteria; Bacillati; Actinomycetota; Actinomycetes; Bifidobacteriales; Bifidobacteriaceae
Description: bacterial SSU rRNA
Rfam family: Bacterial small subunit ribosomal RNA
Source: RNAcentral
UCUCCUGGAAACGGGUGGUAAUGCCGGAUGCUCCGCCCCCUCGCAUGGGGGGUCGGGAAGGCUUUUGCGGAAUGGGAUGGGGUCGCGUCCUAUCAGCUUGUUGGCGGGGCGACGGCCCACCAAGGCUUCGACGGGUAGCCGGCCUGAGAGGGCGACCGGCCACAUUGGGACUGAGAUACGGCCCAGACUCCUACGGGAGGCAGCAGUGGGGAAUAUUGCACAAUGGGGGGAACCCUGAUGCAGCGACGCCGCGUGCGGGAUGGAGGCCUUCGGGUCGUGAACCGCUUUUGAUUGGGAGCAAGCGUGAGUGAGUGUACCUUUCGAAUAAGCACCGGCUAACCACGUGCCAGCAGCCGCGGUAAUACGUAGGGUGCAAGCGUUGUCCGGAAUCAUUGGGCGUAAAGGGCUCGUAGGCGGUUCGUCGCGUCCGGUGUGAAAGCCCAUCGCUUAACGGUGGGGUCUGCGCCGGGUACGGGGCGGGCUUGGAGUGCGGCAAGGGGAGGCUGGAAUUUCCCGGUGGAACGGUGGAAAUGUGUAGAUAUUCGGAAGAACCACCA